Molecule: small RNA, 900 nt
Filed under: Neocucurbitaria sp. 1 NVL-2017
Lineage: Eukaryota; Fungi; Ascomycota; Dothideomycetes; Pleosporales; Cucurbitariaceae
Description: eukaryotic LSU rRNA
Rfam family: Eukaryotic large subunit ribosomal RNA
Source: RNAcentral
CAUAUCAAUAAGCGGAGGAAAAGAAACCAACAGGGAUUGCCCUAGUAACGGCGAGUGAAGCGGCAUCAGCUCAAAUUUGAAAUCUGGCUCUUUCAGGGUCCGAGUUGUAAUUUGCAGAGGGCGCUUUGGCGUUGGCAGCGGUCCAAGUUCCUUGGAACAGGACGUCACAGAGGGUGAGAAUCCCGUACGUGGUCGCUGGCCUUCGCCGUGUAAAGCCCCUUCGACGAGUCGAGUUGUUUGGGAAUGCAGCUCUAAAUGGGAGGUAAAUUUCUUCUAAAGCUAAAUACUGGCCAGAGACCGAUAGCGCACAAGUAGAGUGAUCGAAAGAUGAAAAGCACUUUGGAAAGAGAGUCAAAUAGCACGUGAAAUUGUUGAAAGGGAAGCGCUUGCAGCCAGACUUGCCUGUAGUUGCUCAUCCGGGCUUUUGCCCGGUGCACUCUUCUGCGGGCAGGCCAGCAUCAGUCUGGGCGGUUGGAUAAAGGCCUCUGUCACGUACCUCCUUUCGGGGAGGCCUUAUAGGGGAGGCGUAAUGCAACCAGCCUGGACUGAGGUCCGCGCAUCUGCUAGGAUGCUGGCGUAAUGGCUGUAAGCGGCCCGUCUUGAAACACGGACCAAGGAGUCUAACAUCUAUGCGAGUGUUUGGGUGUCAAGCCCGAGCGCGUAAUGAAAGUGAACGGAGGUGGGAUCCCUUUAGGGUGCACCAUCGACCGAUCCUGAUGUCUUCGGAUGGAUUUGAGUAAGAGCAUGGCUGUUGGGACCCGAAAGAUGGUGAACUAUGCUUGAAUAGGGUGAAGCCAGAGGAAACUCUGGUGGAGGCUCGCAGCGGUUCUGACGUGCAAAUCGAUCGUCAAAUUUGGGCAUAGGGGCGAAAGACUAAUCGAACUAUCUAGUAGCUGGGUC